RNAcentral lists this ribosomal RNA (492 nucleotides) under uncultured bacterium. RNAcentral describes it as "partial 16S ribosomal RNA". It matches the Rfam family "Bacterial small subunit ribosomal RNA", at positions 29 to 507 of the family's 1533-position model. The record is from RNAcentral.
AGUGAACGCUGGCGGUAGGCCUAACACAUGCAAGUCGAACGGCAGCACAGUAAGAGCUUGCUCUUACGGGUGGCGAGUGGCGGACGGGUGAGGAAUACAUCGGAAUCUACUUUUUCGUGGGGGAUAACGUAGGGAAACUUACGCUAAUACCGCAUACGACCUACGGGUGAAAGCAGGAGAUCUUCGGACCUUUCGCGAUUGAAUGAGCCGAUGUCGGAUUAGCUAGUUGGCGGGGUAAAGGCCCACCAAGGUGACGAUCCGUAGCUGAUCUGAGAGGAUGAUCGGCCACACUGGAACUGAGACACGGUCCAGACUCCUACGGGAGGCAGCAGUGGGGAAUAUUGGACAAUGGGCGAAAGCCUGAUCCAGCCAUACCGCGUGGGUGAAGAAGGCCUUCGGGUUGUAAAGCCCUUUUGUUGGGAAAGAAAAGCAGCAGGUUAAUACCCCGCUGUUCUGACGGUACCCAAAGAAUAAGCACCGGCUAACUUCGUG